AUUGGUUGAGACCCAGCAACAAACUGCAAAAAUAGUGAAUUUUAUUAAACCAACAUUAUGCCUCACAAUCACCUGUUGAAAGAUGGUAUAAAGGAGUAAAGGACACGUCCCAGAAAAAAACAAAACCCAAAAAUUACUUGAUCCAAAUUUGGAAACCUAUUACAGAAAAUCAACUAAAUCAACUCAAUUGGACAGAGUCUAUACAGUCUUCCAAUAGCAUCACUUUCCUCAACUCAAAAGGAUUUAUCAAAUUAACAACACUAAAUGGAAGAAAAACAAUGUGGAGGAAAAGAUACCAAAAUGUGACUAAACCUCAAUCUCAAACUAGUUGGAAUUAGCUAUAUGAAUCGGUUUCCUCAUUUCCAACCAGUUUAGGGCUACAUAAUCAAAAUGGCUACUUUCCUCCAUUGUAUCUUAGAUUUUGCCCCUCCUUUUCUUAUUUCCUACCACUUUAGUAUGCUAAACCUUUGGUAUUGGAACAUUUGCUAAUCUACAGUGAACAGGGAAUAAACCAAAACUUAAAUCAAAUUAAAACUAACAUAAAAAACAAUAAGUGAACAGGCCAUCAUUCCUUGGACCAAAAAAAAGCAAUCAUUCAACUAAGCAAACAAGUGAUUAAUUACACAGCCUGAAGGCUAAAACAGACUCCCAGAUGGAACAUGAGUAAAAAGUAUGCAUAACACAGACUUUUUACUCAUUUUACAUUUAAAGAAAAUAAAAGAACUUCUAUUUUGCAAAACUUUUUAGUGUAAUUUACUAUUUAUCCCUAGACAAUGCUAUUAUUAACAAUUCCGUCCCUCUAUUUUAGAAAAUAGAUUAAAACAACCCUAAGGUUUGGUUUCAUUUACAAAAUGGUCCCUCCGUCCAUGUUUAGUCCAUUUAACCGUUAGUCAUGGACGAAAAGUCUAAAAUAACAUCAAUAUUAAUAAGGGGUUAAAUUACUAUUUUAUCAUGAGUUGUCAUUAUCAACAUUUUCUUCCCACUAUUUUGGAAAAUAAAUUAAAACAUCCCUAAAGUUUGGUCUCCUUGUCCAUUUUUAGCCCAUUUAACCAGUAUGGUGCAUCAUUUCAUCUAAUUUUAGACAUAAAAAUCAAAUAGAAAGAUUCCAUUAUUAAUUAGAAGAUUUGAUUGUUGACUGUGAUUACUGAUUUGAGGGAGGAGCAUGGUUUCAAAUAUUAUUUACAGGCUUUGAGGGGUGCCGUUACCCAUGAAGGGUUAGUUUGGGUAGGAUUAGUAGAUUACUCUCCUUUUCUUUGUUGUUUUGCAUAUUUGUUGAAGAAAACUAAUGUUGAUGUUAGAUUUGUUGACAAAGUUAGUAGUUUGAAGGAUUGGUUUACCCGGUCUAUAGGUUUAUGUGUUUUUUUUCUAAUUUGAAUUAUUU
Molecule: unclassified non-coding RNA, 1381 nt
Filed under: Hevea brasiliensis (rubber tree)
Lineage: Eukaryota; Viridiplantae; Streptophyta; Magnoliopsida; Malpighiales; Euphorbiaceae
Source: RNAcentral